Molecule: ribosomal RNA, 804 nt
Filed under: uncultured bacterium
Lineage: Bacteria
Description: bacterial SSU rRNA
Rfam family: Bacterial small subunit ribosomal RNA
Source: RNAcentral
AGAGUUUGAUCCUGGCUCAGGAUGAACGCUGGCGGCGUGCCUAACACAUGCAAGUCGAACGAAGCGCCCGCGCGGAUUCCCUCGGGAUGAAGCGCGGAUGACUGAGUGGCGGACGGGUGAGUCACGCGUGGGCAACCUGCCCCGUGCCGGGGGACAACAGCCGGAAACGGCUGCUAAUACCGCAUGAUCCGGAAGGGCCGCAUGGCCCUGCCGGGAAAGCUCCGGCGGCACGGGAUGGGCCCGCGUCUGAUUAGUUUGUUGGCGGGGUAACGGCCCACCAAGACUGCGAUCAGCAGCCGGCCUGAGAGGGCGGCCGGCCACAUUGGGACUGAGACACGGCCCAGACUCCUGCGGGAGGCAGCAGUGGGGGAUAUUGCACAAUGGGGGAAACCCUGAUGCAGCGACGCCGCGUGGGCGACGAAGCGCUCCGGCGCGUAAAGCCCUGUCAGCAGGGAAGAACAAAGACAGUACCUGACCAAGAAGCCCCGGCUAACUACGUGCCAGCAGCCGCGGUAAUACGUAGGGGGCAAGCGUUAUCCGGAUUCACUGGGCGUAAAGGGAGCGCAGGCGGCACGGCAAGUCUGGUGUGAAAGCCCGGGGACCAACCCCGGGACUGCAUUGGAAACUGCCGGGCUGGAGUGCCGGAGGGGUAAGCGGAAUUCCUGGUGUAGCGGUGAAAUGCGUAGAUAUUAGGAGGAACACCAGUGGCGAAGGCGGCUUACUGGACUGUAACUGACGUUGAGGCUCGAAAGCGUGGGGAGCAAACAGGAUUAGAUACCCUGGUAGUCCACGCCGUAAACGAUG